GACGAACGCCGGCGGCGUGCUUAACACAUGCAAGUCGAGCGGUAAGGCCCUUUCGGGGGUACGACGAGCGGCGAACGGGUGAGUAACACGUGGGUGACCUGCCCUCCAGCUCUGGGAUAAGCCUGGGAAACCGGGUCUAAUACUGGAUAUGACUCCAUGACGCAUGUUGUGGGGUGGAAAGCCUUGUGCGGCUGAGGAUGGGCCCGCGGCCUAUCAGCUUGUUGGUGGGGUGAUGGCCUACCAAGGCGACGACGGGUAGCCGGCCUGAGAGGGCGACCGGCCACACUGGGACUGAGACACGGCCCAGACUCCUACGGGAGGCAGCAGUGGGGAAUCUUGCGCAAUGGGCGAAAGCCGACGCAGCGACGCCGCGUGAGGGAUGACGGCCU
RNAcentral lists this ribosomal RNA (389 nucleotides) under uncultured bacterium. RNAcentral's name for it is "bacterial SSU rRNA". It matches the Rfam family "Bacterial small subunit ribosomal RNA", at positions 28 to 417 of the family's 1533-position model. The record is from RNAcentral.